GGGCCCGCACAAGCGGUGGAGCAUGUGGUUUAAUUCGAUGAUACGCGAGGAACCUUACCAGGGCUUAAAUGUAUUCUGACAGCUUUAGAGAUAGAGUUUUCUUCGGACAGAAUACAAGGUGCUGCAUGGUUGUCGUCAGCUCGUGCCGUGAGGUGUCAGGUUAAGUCCUAUAACGAGCGCAACCCUUGUCGUUAGUUGCCAGCAUGUAAAGAUGGGGACUUUAGCGAGACUGCCGGUGCAAACCGUGAGGAAGGUGGGGAUGACGUCAAAUCAUCACGGCCCUUACGUCCUGGCCACACACGUGGCUACAAUGGUAUAGACAAUGAGCAGCCACUACGCGAGUAGGCGCGAA
Molecule: ribosomal RNA, 352 nt
Filed under: uncultured bacterium
Lineage: Bacteria
Description: bacterial SSU rRNA
Rfam family: Bacterial small subunit ribosomal RNA
Source: RNAcentral